Molecule: transfer RNA, 76 nt
Filed under: Hyphomicrobiales bacterium
Lineage: Bacteria; Pseudomonadati; Pseudomonadota; Alphaproteobacteria; Hyphomicrobiales
Description: tRNA-Lys
Rfam family: tRNA
About the family: Transfer RNA (tRNA) molecules are approximately 80 nucleotides in length. Their secondary structure includes four short double-helical elements and three loops (D, anti-codon, and T loops).
Source: RNAcentral
GGGCCCGUAGCUCAGUUGGCAGAGCAGCUGACUCUUAAUCAGCGGGUCGUGGGUUCGAGCCCCACCGGGCCCUCCA